UUGAUUAUCAUUAGCCGGCCUUGGUUAAGCUCACAAACAUCAUUUGGAUCUCUUCGUCUUGUAGUAUGUACAAAGUUUUCCAUCCUCUCAGAUCAUUGCUGGAAAAGGCUUUUGUUUGAACGCAAAAAAAUUAGAGAGGCUUUUGUAUACUCGUUAACAUUUCUCCCAUUUUAUAUCAUAGAUUGUCGCCGUUGGAAAAUGAACAAAUGCUCUCACUAGCCAAUUUUGAGCAUAAUGAAACCGUUUACAAUGUAAACAUUUCUUUUAAGACUUGUUAGGACCAAACAUGCGGCACACCUUACAUUAGACAGUCAACUUAUCUCCUCUAAUGCAAUCAGAAGAUAGAUAGGUAUACAUGGUUCACAUCCGCAUCACAUCCUGAUAAAAAUAGAUAAAAAUAGAGUUAAACGAUUUGAGGCUACAUGAAGUAGCACUUGUACACAAGUGCUGCAACAACACGAACAGGGAAAAGCUCUUCACGCAGCAAGAUCCUUGGUUGCCAGGGGCAUGAGCUGCAUCACAACUUGUACAUAACCAAGCUAGCUAUCAAUAACAACAUCUGUUAACCGACAAAUAAUGCAGCAGUCACAAUGCCAAACAAGAUAAUUAAGCACCUAAACCAUCAACUUGCAGCUAAAUAAGCUGAAACGGAACAAAACAAUCUUGCUUCCUGGUGUGUCAAACCCACACAAGGACAACACCAAAAAAUAGUACUAAACAAUCCUUCAAUCCAAAAAUUCAACUCAGACCAACCAUUUACUUCCAUAUUAUCUCAUUGACAAAAUCAGGAGGUGAGUAAACAAUCUGAUUUUCCCCAAGUACACCAGCGACUAAAAUCCAACCCGCAAACACUAAACCAUUUUUUGUUUCACUAGAAGCACACCGCAUAUCAGUUUUUGUACCAAAGAUUAUUCAUAACCAAAACCAAGCUGCUUGCUACUUCCUUGAUCUAAAAAAGCUGCUUGCUACAAGUGUAGAGGAAAUCAAACAACAGUAUAAUCGACCAAUACAAUAAAUUGCCCAUAAAACAGUAAAAAAAAUCCAGCCCAUUAUAAGUAAUCUCGCUUGUCACAUGCAUCAUCUCUCUGCUAACCUGGAGCCAAACAACUAGAAAAACUCUGUUUACAAAUCCAAGUCAACCCAAAUAGCAUGAACUCUAAAUCAUAAUGUAUGCGUUUGAUCUGAACUCUAAUUUAUCCUAAAUUCAGUGGCACAUAGUUCAUCAGGAUUUCAGAAUCCAAGACCAAAAGAAUAUUCACUAGACUUAGCUAUGGUCAGAUACUAACCCAAAUAGCUAAGAGAAAAAUUAGUAAGAUGCGCCAUCGUUCAGAUUAUUCACUUGUAAAGCACGCCCUCUCAACCAAAACCAACUGCCUCUGGUAGCUUUGAUGCACACAUGCACCCCAGCGAAACCAGCCAGAUCAGCAGUACCAAAGGAAUAAAAGGAACAAAAUCAAAAAAUAACCAAAAACGUGCAAAUCUGGAACAGAUGAAAAGCUAGGAGAAAAGCACAAGUACAGGUCGUGAUCCAGCCUCACCGGCAGAAACAAUGAAGAAAAAUCAUUUCUCACGGCCAGAUCCGUGGACGAGGACCGCAUCCUCAGCAGAUCACAUGUUGGCCAAACUCGAACUGAUCUGGCUGCCGGAGUGGAAGAGGACAAGCACUCCAGCCGUCGCCUCGGUCACAGGCACAUCAUUGGAGCGGAGGUUGGGUGUGGCGGCGACAUGAGCAGACGAGAGGUGGUUGGUGCAAUGGUAAUAAUGGAAGAGAGAGAGACAGAGGAACUCGUAGCAGACGAUGCAGUCUUCACGUGCGCAACCCCAUGGCGAGGAUAAGGAGAAG
RNAcentral lists this ribosomal RNA (1843 nucleotides) under Triticum aestivum (bread wheat). RNAcentral describes it as "partial small subunit ribosomal RNA". Lineage: Eukaryota; Viridiplantae; Streptophyta; Magnoliopsida; Poales; Poaceae. The record is from RNAcentral.